This 926-nucleotide long non-coding RNA is filed under the name Fragaria vesca (wild strawberry). Its description in RNAcentral is "long non-coding RNA (FVES_LNC002580)". The record is from RNAcentral. Lineage: Eukaryota; Viridiplantae; Streptophyta; Magnoliopsida; Rosales; Rosaceae.
UUUCAUGCCCCUCUUGAAUUCCUAACACUCGAACAUAAACACAAAAAGAUGAUUCUCAAAUUUUGAACCAAACUAAUUGACAAACCAUAAAGGCAUAAACCGAUCAAAUUUAUAAUUCAUAUACCAUUGAAUUGACCAAAAACAUAUCAUAUAUAGUUAUAUACACUACUAGAAAUUUUGACCGAUACUCCAAAGUAAUAGUCAAUAAGGAUAUUAUCAAAGUAAGAAAAUUGAUGCAGUAAAAAAAGCAUAAACCUGGAAACCUCACCCUUAUUUAAUAUCCGAGCUUUUUAAAGCUCAAAUCGGAAACAAGCCUAGUUCUUCUUUGUGUUUUCACUUCAAUUUCCAAUCUUAAAGUAAAUACCCAAAAGAACUAAGUGGUACCCUUCCCAUGUAAGUAUCUCGAUCGGGAACAAACUAUAGAACAAUGAAAGAAAGAAAAAAAAAAGAAGGGAAGGCAAACGGUGGAAGAGAUAAGACUUUGAGUUAGGUGGCUUCUAGGUUUCCAAAGUACGUGAAGCUGGCAGCUAUAGAUGCUAAAUCAACCAAAAUAUGCUUAAUUAAAAAUUUAACAAGCCUAAUCUAAUCUUCAAAAUGAUUCACCCAAAUCUUAUCUUCAAUUCUCCAACCCUAGACCAGCGAAAAGGAUUUGGGAGAUUGAAAAAUACCUGCACUGAAGAAGUUGAGGCGUAGGUGAGACCGGAGUCGAACCAAGGUUCGGCCUUCUCAGCCUCACUCACCUCCUCCAUGAAAUUGAAGAAUCGACGAAGGAGAAACUGAGGUCGGCGGCACUGUGAGGUGGUCGAUGCAUGGCGCUGGUGGUGCACUCCUCCGGUGACAUUGAGUUCAGAGCAGAGGUGGUAGGAUUUGCAGUAUUUGGGCGAGAGUUCAAGAGGGUGAGGACAAGAAGAGAAAUAGUGUGCGGC